GAUGAACGCUGGCGGCGUGCCUAAUACAUGCAAGUCGAGCGAACGGACGAGAAGCUUGCUUCUCUGAUGUUAGCGGCGGACGGGUGAGUAACACGUGGAUAACCUACCUAUAAGACUGGGAUAACUUCGGGAAACCGGAGCUAAUACCGGAUAAUAUUUUGAACCGCAUGGUUCAAAAGUGAAAGACGGUCUUGCUGUCACUUAUAGAUGGAUCCGCGCUGCAUUAGCUAGUUGGUAAGGUAACGGCUUACCAAGGCAACGAUGCAUAGCCGACCUGAGAGGGUGAUCGGCCACACUGGAACUGAGACACGGUCCAGACUCCUACGGGAGGCAGCAGUAGGGAAUCUUCCGCAAUGGGCGAAAGCCUGACGGAGCAACGCCGCGUGAGUGAUGAAGGUCUUCGGAUCGUAGAACUCUGUUAUUAGGGAAGAACAUAUGUGUAAGUAACUGUGCACACCUUGACGGUACCUAAUCAGAAAGCCACGGCUAACUACGUG
Molecule: ribosomal RNA, 497 nt
Filed under: uncultured bacterium
Lineage: Bacteria
Description: partial 16S ribosomal RNA
Rfam family: Bacterial small subunit ribosomal RNA
Source: RNAcentral